This 758-nucleotide ribosomal RNA is filed under the name uncultured bacterium. Its description in RNAcentral is "bacterial SSU rRNA". It matches the Rfam family "Bacterial small subunit ribosomal RNA", at positions 8 to 796 of the family's 1533-position model. The record is from RNAcentral.
AGAGUUUGAUCAUGGCUCAGGAUUAACGCUGGCGGCGUGCCUAACACAUGCAAGUCGAACGAGGUAGCAAUACCUAGUGGCAGACGGGUGAGUAACGCGUGGUCAACCUACCUUUGAGUGGGGGAUAACUAGCCGAAAGGCUAGCUAAUACCGCAUAACAUCAAAGCCGGCAUCGGCAAUGAUUGAAAGCAGCAAUGCUCUCGAAGACGGGACCGCGUCCGAUUAGCUAGUUGGUGAGGUAAUGGCUCACCAAGGCUGCGAUCGGUAGCUGGUUUGAGAGAACGACCAGCCACACUGGGACUGAGAACGGCCCAGACUCCUACGGGAGGCAGCAGUGAGGAAUUUUCCGCAAUGGGCGCAAGCCUGACGGAGCGACGCCGCGUGUGGGAAGAAGGCCUUCGGGUCGUAAACCACUGUCGAAGGGGAAGAUAUUGACGGUACCCUUGGAGGAAGCCCCGGCUAACUACGUGCCAGCAGCCGCGGUAAGACGUAGGGGGCAAGCGUUAUUCGGAAUUAUUGGGCGUAAAGCGCUCGUAGGCGGGACAGGAAGUCCGUGAAGAAAGACCUGGGCUCAACUCAGGGAACGGCACGGAUACUCUUGUUCUUGAGGCAAUCAGAGGGUGAUGGAAUUCCCGGUGUAGCGGUGAAAUGCGUAGAUAUCGGGAGGAACCCAGUGGCGAAGGCGAUCACCCGGGGUUGUUCUGACGCUGAGGAGCGAAAGCCAGGGGAGCAAACGGGAUUAGAUACCCCCGUAGUCC